This 22-nucleotide microRNA is filed under the name Amphimedon queenslandica. Its description in RNAcentral is "aqu-miR-2019-3p". Lineage: Eukaryota; Metazoa; Porifera; Demospongiae; Haplosclerida; Niphatidae. The record is from miRBase by way of RNAcentral.
CACGGUAGCUUGCUCACUUAGA